Molecule: small RNA, 26 nt
Filed under: Bombyx mori (domestic silkworm)
Lineage: Eukaryota; Metazoa; Arthropoda; Insecta; Lepidoptera; Bombycidae
Description: ovarian small RNA-24983
Source: RNAcentral
UCACAAUGACAGGGUAAACCGACAGU